This 74-nucleotide transfer RNA is filed under the name Acidobacteriota bacterium. Its description in RNAcentral is "Acidobacteria bacterium tRNA-Pro". It matches the Rfam family "tRNA". Rfam says of the family: Transfer RNA (tRNA) molecules are approximately 80 nucleotides in length. Their secondary structure includes four short double-helical elements and three loops (D, anti-codon, and T loops). Lineage: Bacteria; Pseudomonadati; Acidobacteriota. RNAcentral also lists the same sequence under 1 other name. The record is from RNAcentral.
CGGGGCGUGGCUCAGCCUGGUAGAGCGUUCGGUUUGGGACCGAAAGGUCGGAGGUUCGAAUCCUCUCGCCCCGA